AUGGCUCCCAGUCGCCGGACGGUUGCCGAGCGGACGGGGAUGGAGCCGCCAGUUUCUGUUCGUCGGGGAUCGCAAUCCACAUGAAGGCCGUCGCAGUUAUCCCAAAAGCUCGAGCGAGUGCAAACCAAAAUGUCGCUGGAAUCUUCACGUCCCCCCCUCAGGUGAUCCUUGCCUUCCCUCGAGCGGUGGAGCCGCUUCGUCCCUUCGCACGCGGUGCUGCGCGGUUUGGCGAUUUAGGGGUUGGAUUUAGUGUGCAAUUUUCACCUGUCAUUGCGAAUAUUACAAGCUUCUCACAGAGUACAAUGAUCUGUGUUUUUGAGAUUUUUAUCCAAGUGAUCAGAAUGCCGAGUCCUCAACCUGAAUACAAGAAGUCAGAAUGACACGAAACUGCAGAUUUUAUCGAUAAUAAUAGGUUGUACUGCUGUCCGUAAUAUCUUUUGACAGAAUUUAAACAUGGCAAUCCAGUUACUGUUUGUGAUGCAUUAUUUCUGAUGCCCAUAGCCUUACCUGUGCUCGAUUCAACAAUUUGAAAUACAAAAUCAGGGUGUAUGCCUUGCCAUUUGCAGAAGCUUGAUUGAGAUAAGCUGAUUACACUCUGCAAUUUUCCUUGAUCAACCAUGCUUUGCUAGUGCCUAUAUGUGAGUAAGUGACCAUACUGUGCUAAUGCCAACACUUGUUUUCGAGGCACGAUAAUGCUUUACCAAUUACCAAUAGAGACAUGUUCAUAACUUCAUAUUCGACGUGUGAAAUUUCGUCGUGCCACUUUUUACUUUGCCUGAUUUGGAUGCGAGCAAUCCGAGUACUACACUAGUUAUGUUUGUUGUGUUUGCUGGCUUAGUAUCCAAAUUAAAAGUUAAGAAUUAAGACAAGCUUUGGCUAUCCGUGGAGUAGCCAUUACUUGGAAGAUUUGUGUGUCUUGAGUCUUGACUCAAGGUGGUAUUGUACAGUUGUAAGUUCCACAUUCAGAAUUUCUGUUUCAGUCUAAUGCUCUGCAAAGUAAUACUAUCACAGAGUUUACUGGUAUGCAGAGGAGUCGUCCAAUCAUUUAUAUUGUGGGGAAGAGGGUGCUCCAAUCUCUAAAACGUUAGAACCACACAGUGAUACUACUGAUCUCCCUUCUACAGGUGUUGAUGGUAUCGAACAAUUAGGGCUUCGAGUCGGAGUCAUUGACCCAAGUGGAGUUCCCGUCCUUGAAGGUUCCUGACUAGGUAUCGGAGUCAUCUCUGUGCCAACAUCUCUCACAGACACUGACUGAACUGUUGAAAUAGCUGCACAUAACAAUUCACACAACUUUAAGAAUGUUUUGAAAACAAAUGUUUAGCUUCAAUAUUCUAUAAUUGCUUCAUGUUACAAUCUUCUGGCUAAUAUAGAUGAAAAAGUAACCUUUUUUUCGAGAAUGUGAAAAAGUUACCUUUUGGAUCGUUGCAGGGCUUCACUUCUAUUUCUGAACCACUAUCAGUUGCCUUGCGAUACUCGGGGAUAGCACUAGAACUACUAACUGGACAUGCAUGCCUAACCAACUUUGGCUGAUACGAAGCAAAAGAUAACCUCUCUAAUAUGCUGCGUGGAGCAGACAAAGCUGGAUUCACUCUCUUCAUUUUCUGCACAGGGCGACCAGAAAUUUUGGGCACAAUGACACCCCUGGCUGCAGCAGAAUUCAUCUGGUUUACAGUCUGAUUCUGUGCCGUGCCUUUGGAGAUGUUAUAGUUAACAUUCUGCCGGUUCACGAUCCAUUUCUCAGCGUCAUUCCACUUCGAGGAAGCCUGUCUAGAGAAAUACCCCACUGCUGGAUUCUGCGUUGCCGUCUUCUCACCUCCAUGGAACUCAAAGCUACUAGUGCUAGCAUUGUCAAGCCCACUAUCACAUUCAGUACUGUCUUCUUCCACAGAUUUCACUGGAUGUAUCAUGCUCGAGUUGCUUGUUGCUGGUUGGGGAACUGAACUCUUGGAAGUGUUCUGAAUCUUAUUGACAUCUAAUGCGGAAUCAUUUCCUACUGCUUCAGUUUUGUUAAUUGCUGAAGGGUGUUUGGUGCCAUCUGAGUUGUCUGAAACUGUUGCAGAACAAGAAUGAUGUGUUAUUGACUUAUCCAAGAAAAAGGGUGAUGUUCGCGAUGAUGAGUUGCUGGUGAUAACUCUUACUCGAUUGUGGGCCCCCAUAAUCUUCAUCCUUAGCUUUGUUGGAGAAAGGGCACCAGCCUGCAGGAACCUUAAGGCUGGUGGGUGUGAGCGGCCAGCGAGGAAGGGAGGGUGAGUACUGAAGAGUGAGAAGAAGGAGAACACCAGUCGCCACUCACCAGAGGUCCAGAGCGGAAGGACUGGGAUAGCUGUGAUCUAAACAAGGCGAUGUCACGUCUCGUGUUUUUUAGUCCUUCAGAGCUACUAGACUACUACUAGACAGGAGCCCACAGGUUCUGGUCCCGUUACAAUUGUUCGUUAACGUCAAUGACUGCAGCUACUACCUUGAGCCCAUGAAUCUGCAGAAACAGUCUUGGAGUGAUCAGCAAGAUCCAAUAAUGCACACAACAGCAACUUCAGCAUUGUCUGUCUGAUCAGCAGCUCAUAAUACUCCUGAAUUGCGCAGUGGCAAUCAAUCUUAACCUUGGAACGGACCACAAAUGAUUGUUUGGUGCACAAAUCCAUGGCACUGGGGAAAGACUGUCUCGAGCCCACAGUCCUCGAGGCGAAAGUGGCCGGCACACUUCGCCAGCAAGUAGUGCCUAGACUGGUAACCACACUGUGUGAGCCAGUUUAGGAGCACUCCAAUGGCAAGAGACCGUUAGAACAAUCAGACAGAGGAGGGCUCUCGUUCUGAGGAAUUCCCCUCUGAGGCUCUGACCAGUACCUAUGGCAUUAGUUGCCUGGAAAGAAUCUUGUUGUAGGACACAACAGUGUCUUGAUCAAAGCACAAUUUUUUGGCUGACACUGGCAACAUGGGCCCAAGCAUGCACCAAUCAUGGGAUUCCUUUUGGACAGUAUAGCUGAUUGCAAAUUUGCAAUGGAGCAGACGCCUGAAGCUGGAUUCCAAAUAAUGCACGAGUCUCAACAACCUUUGCUCUCGCCAGUGCUGCCACUUGUUGUUUCCAAACAUAUGAGGGAGAAAAUGCGAAGCAAAAUGGAGUUUAAUUGUGAACAGACCUGUGUGAUGUUUACAUGAGGAGAAAUAUUACAGUUCUUUUAAACAAAUUAAACAUUACACAUAUAAUACCCAAGCGCUGGCCAGAGUGCUGUUCCCCUCUCGGA
Molecule: long non-coding RNA, 3239 nt
Organism: Panicum virgatum (switchgrass)
Lineage: Eukaryota; Viridiplantae; Streptophyta; Magnoliopsida; Poales; Poaceae
Exons: 5
Source: RefSeq, a predicted model, not a curated record